Molecule: ribosomal RNA, 682 nt
Filed under: uncultured bacterium
Lineage: Bacteria
Description: bacterial SSU rRNA
Rfam family: Bacterial small subunit ribosomal RNA
Source: RNAcentral
GGGGGAUAACACUUGGAAACAGGUGCUAAUACCGCAUAACCAUAGUUACCGCAUGGUAACUAUGUAAAAGGUGGCUAUGCUACCGCUUUUGGAUGGGCCCGCGACGCAUUAGCUAGUUGGUGGGGUAAAGGCUUACCAAGGCAAUGAUGCGUAGCCGAACUGAGAGGUUGAUCGGCCACAUUGGGACUGAGACACGGCCCAAACUCCUACGGGAGGCAGCAGUAGGGAAUCUUCCACAAUGGGCGAAAGCCUGAUGGAGCAACGCCGCGUGGGUGAAGAAGGUCUUCGGAUCGUAAAACCCUGUUGUUAGAGAAGAAAGUGCGUGAGAGUAACUGUUCACGUUUCGACGGUAUCUAACCAGAAAGCCACGGCUAACUACGUGCCAGCAGCCGCGGUAAUACGUAGGUGGCAAGCGUUAUCCGGAUUUAUUGGGCGUAAAGAGAACGCAGGCGGUCUUUUAAGUCUGAUGUGAAAGCCUUCGGCUUAACCGGAGUAGUGCAUUGGAAACUGGGAGGCUUGAGUGCAGAAGAGGAGAGUGGAACUCCAUGUGUAGCGGUGAAAUGCGUAGAUAUAUGGAAGAACACCAGUGGCGAAAGCGGCUCUCUGGUCUGUAACUGACGCUGAGGUUCGAAAGCGUGGGUAGCAAACAGGAUUAGAUACCCUGGUAGUCCACGCCGUAAAC